This 477-nucleotide ribosomal RNA is filed under the name Brachymyrmex depilis. Its description in RNAcentral is "LSU rRNA". The record is from RNAcentral. Lineage: Eukaryota; Metazoa; Arthropoda; Insecta; Hymenoptera; Formicidae.
AAUAGCAGUCGCUGCGACCGAAGCGCAGCCACCCGCUACAGGGCGCGCCCAGGAGCGCCGAGCGCGCGCCCGUGCGAUGGCACGCAGCUGCAGGCCGCGAGCAGCAGCACGUGAAGAGGGGUUCAUUUUGCAGNNNNGSGCGACCCACAGCCAGAUGCCGGGCCCACGCCACAGACAGCGCAGCGCGCCAUUUUGCCGUGCGCUGUUUGGGGGCCAGCGGGCCGGCCGACGAGCCGCCAUGCGCGUUCCAUAGUCNGGCGUGUGCACGGCGCACGCGCGAGAGAGAGCGGGGAGAGCCCCCCACACGCCUCACACAGCGCGCGCGCGCGCCCCUACGCAGCUCCGGCAGCGUUCGCGCGCGGUGCCAUGUACCUCCAAUGCCUGGAUCGCGGCAGGGGCCAGGACCGGGCGACAACCAAUUAUUUCAUGCCUAAGUGGAAGCUGUCCGGACGAUUGCAGAGCGCGCGCGCACACAGG